Lagopus muta (rock ptarmigan) is the source of this 2188-nucleotide long non-coding RNA. RefSeq lists it as uncharacterized. The transcript is spliced from 4 exons. The record is from RefSeq and is a predicted model, not a curated record. NCBI's taxonomy places the organism in Eukaryota, Metazoa, Chordata, Aves, Galliformes, Phasianidae.
AGGGUAUCUUGCUGGAGAUCCCUGCUUAUCUGAGGUCUUCUGAAGGAGAAUGAGGAAUAUCUUCAUCCUUCGUGCUGCUGCAAUUUGAGUGAACAGCUUUAUGAUUAAAGAGUCUUAUCAGUUUUGGAGGUGAAAUGGGACCUCAGCGAUUCAAGGGGAGAAAAGUAGGAAAGUCAUAAAAAGUGAUGCUUUUGAGAGGAUCUGCGGAUGGCUGCCAUUUAUCGAGACAGAUGAACUCAUUUGCAGGAAAAGGAAAGGCAGAGAUACAAAGAUUGACAUUUCUACUGUGUGGUUUGAAGCUAUAAUGUAAAGCUCGGGGUCCCUCCUGUCCAUGGAAUGCUCAUCUGCUGUGCGCUCUCUGCUGGUUAUGGGAUCAAGAUGCCUUGGCUGGCUUUCACCUCACAUAACUCUGAGAGCAGAAAAUAAUCGUGUCCACCUGACCAGUCACCCUCAUGAAUGAAAAGAGCUGUGUUUCAGUAGUGUGGCUAUUUUAAACAAAUUCUUUCAGAAGAUGCAGCAUGAUAUACAGGUGCCUCUUUCCUCCUGUUGACUACAAAAGAAAUUAACCUGCAGUUACGUAUCCUGAGGGUGGGUGAAAUGAAUCUUCCUCCUUUUUCUGCUGAAGGAAUGAAUAUGUUGGGAUAAAGGAAAAACUGCUCAGGUUUCUAUGGCAAAUGCACUGCAGGCUGGGGUCACAUCUUCUCAGUGUCCUGUACCACAGAUGCUAAUGGAUCCCAGCUCAUUUAAUAACUGCAAGAAAGGCAGAUCAGGGAUGCCAGCUCAUAAAGAAGGAAGCAAACAAAGCAGGCUGUCUUGGCUCCCACCAUGUGACAGCAGAAACACUAUUGGCCAAGUGGAAAAAGACAAAAUCUGUUGAGGAAGAAAUGCUAUUUUCAAGCUUUAUAAGAGGAACCGCAAACAUUAAGAAUAAACAAACUGGAAAGUAGAAAAUAUUGGGUUUGUUCCCCAUUUAGUGUUUGCAAGAAUGACAAGAUGGAACAUGCUGGACUUGCUGGAGAUGUGUGAGACUACAGUGUGCUGAAAUACUUGUCUUACAAAACUCGUGGGUUAAAUCACUAUAUAAGCAAGAUAGCUUUGAGUAGAUUUCUUCUAAUGGGUGGCUCUUUGGCUUUGUUCUGUAUGGUGCUGCAUGUCCUCUGACAGUGCUGAAGGUACCUGGAGGGUUUCACAGCAUCCUUCUUUGUGCUCAAUUUUUAUGUGGUGGAGGGAACUGUUUCAUUUCUUACAUCAUUCGAAGGCAUAUCAAAUAACAGUAUUUAUGCAUUUUUCUCUCUCUGCAAUUAUAUUUUCACAUUUUCCUGUUACUAUGUUCCUGCAGAUUCUAUAGCUCACAGUCUGUGAGGCAUCUGAUUUGUGCCACAGAAAUGUUGCAUACAGGGAUUAACACAGUUCAGAGCAGAUGUAGGGGAGCUUUCAGUUAUGUGGGCAGCUGUUUGGGUUUCUUCACUGGAGAGAAGUACCAGACUGACUGCAUUUCUGACAAAAUACACACCCUCCGCCUACUUUGCACCUUCCUGCAAUCUUGUCAGGAUUGGAAAAAUCUCAGCCUAAGAUCUUUUUCUAGCCCCUGCCAUGCAAAAUGCAUCAGUUUUGUACUUAGCUUCACGUUUCUGAUAUAUUUUGCUUCACUUUCACUUUAUUGAGUAUAUAACCUGAAGGAUUUAAGCUGUCCCCACCUAUGCUUCUUUCUGCAGCCUUAAUCUUUGUAGGAAAAGCCCUGGGAACAAACCAGCCCUUCUGUGUGUAACUGGAAACUUGGGGUAAGCAGCAGGGUAUUCAAUGAUGAGAAAAAUUUCUCCAAGGCCAUAUUAGUGUGUGUGGAUGAACCGGGAAUAGUCACAGUGAAUCCUGAACCUGAGAAGUAAGUGGAGUUUCUAAGUGUACAGUGAGAAAUCUGACUCUCUUUAAAAGUACUAAUAAGAAUACUUUGUGGAUUGAAAAGAUGUCCAAGAGCCCAGCUGUUCUUUAUCUAAUUAAUAGAGAGACUAGAUUUAUUAACUUCUGGGGUCUUGAGAUUUGUAUUGCAGGCUGGUAGGCUGACAUUUCUGUAAGUGUUUUGAUCAUCUGUGCAAAGGGCUGAACGCCUUGUUGAUGGCUGGUGCACUAAGUCCUUUGCAGUCAUUUGUAACCUGACCGCAUGCGCAAAGCAGUGCUUGGUAAUAAACCA